AAUAGAAGAAGAAGAAGAGAUGGAUAUCUUGUUUCUUGUAUCUUUGUCUCUGUUAAGCCACUAGAUAACUUUAGCUGAGGAGAGAAUGUUGAGGUGGGGGGUGGGGUGUGUGGCUGCAGAGAGGAGCAAGGCAUGCUCCCUCCAGUUCCUGGUUCCCAAGGGGCACAAGAUGGAUCCUGCCUAGGUCUACAGGUCCCAUUGCUGGGGUACAGAGGGGAGACAAGAUUGCGGCUGCAGGCUCGCUGGGGACCACCCCAACAUGAACAAAGAAGUCAUGUGUUAGACCCUUCAUCUGGGGGUUACCCUGAAGAUAUAGCCAAGAUUCACAAAGAAAGACCCACCGAGGCUUCUGAGAGCAGUUUGGGAUUGAGUCUCUCCUCAGCGGGGGUCUGGUUCAGGCUACCCCAGGCUUGCAAAUAGGGGGCUAGAUGGACAGAAGUGACCCACCCCCUACAGAUGCAGGGUUUUCAUCGAAGGGGGUGCUUGCUCUCCACUUCGUGGCCGAAGAACAGCCAUCUCACCCUGAGAAGUCACAUGUGAAAAUACCUUCAUUCUCUCCUUCCUCCAGAACUAGAAUUAGAAGGGAAGAGCAGCGAGCAGGAAGGAUGUAGGAGAUGGAAACUCAUGUCUCCCACCUUCUUAGCUGUGGAAACCCCAAGUUCUAGCUUAGGAAUAUUCACCUUAUAGCAGCAGUUGGCAUACUAUUGCCCACAAGCCAACCCAGCCAGCUGCCUAUUUUUGCAUAUAAAGCUUUGCUGAAACACAGCUACACUUAUUCAUUUAUGUAUUGUCCACAGUUGCUUUCAUGCAUCACCCACAGAGUUGGGUAGUUGUAACAAAGACCAUAUAGCCUGCAAAACCUGAAAUAUUUCCUAUCUGGCUCUUUACAGAAAAAGUUUGGCAACCCCUACUUUAUAGGGUUGUUCUGAGGAUAAAGGACAUAAUUCAUGUAAAUAAACCCUUACCACAGUGCCAGGCAUGGAAUAAGCAUUUACUAAAUUCCAGUGAUUCAUACCAUUGUUGAAUCCAUCAGUGCUCAACAAAAAUAAUAAUAGUAAUAGCUAUGAUAUAUAAAUUUGAAGGAUUCUUCUUAUCGCCCCUCAUAAAUAGCAUAAGUAUGCAAGGUUAAGCUUCAGAACGCAAUGAUGCCUUGCUUUCCUGGCGUCUCCACUGGGGGUUAACCAAGCAUAGUGAGAAAGGAGCUCUGAGUGUGUGUGAGUGUGUGUGUGUGUGUGUGUGUCUUGUCGGGCGCUGGUCACGGGCCUCCAUGGCUGGACAACCAUCUGCUGAGCUGUGCAAUGAUGACAAAUCCACAAUUUGAACUUCAUUUCUCUUUGCCAUUGGCUCUUCCGCCUUGCAACCUUCACAGUAAUGAGAGAUUGGUACAAAUAAGUCUAUGGUUGGUCAGAGAAACCAGAAUUAAUCAGAACUGCCCAUUAAAAAAAAUAAUUGCCUUUAUCACCUGCACUGAAUUUAGGGUUCCUAGAGUUUGGCUGUGAUCCUGACACAAGGUGCAUGGAUCCAAGGUAUCAGGGAAGUCCUAUUAUCCCCAAUAUCUUCAGUCUGGAGAGAAUGUGGAAUGAUUUGUCUCUUUUAAUAAGAUUUCCAGACCAAUUUCUCAAGCUGAUAGAUUCUACUACGCCUCAAACAAGACUCCUAUAUUUCGGGACACUUCUCUGCAUUCGAUUUUCUGGGUCACUCUCUCAUAAUGCCCAGAGGGCUGGGGAAGGUUGCAGGCUUUUCUAAUCCUAAAUCAGAGUCAUCCUUUCACUUGGAUGCCCUAAUUUGUGAGACUACAGCAGCAGCAGAAUGGGUGAAUUCAGCAGGGUGAUGUGCUGGCAAAUGUGGUGUUUGAGCUGCCAGGGAUCAUCAGGGUCUCUCUGCAGCCCGGGACACUGCAUAUAUUCUAGCCAUGGGAAAUAAGAGAAAGAAAGCAGGGGGGCCAUGUUUUCUCUUCCCACUGACCCUUUGGGGCUCAGAAAUGACUCUCAUCAAUAAGAAACAUCCUCUGUGGUUUAGCUCAAGACUGUCCUGGUGUUCAAGUGCUGUAGCUGCACCUGAAUGGAUGCUACCAUUUUGGUUUGCUUAUGUUGUGUAGCAAAAGGUGCGAAAAUGCAUUGGGGUUUCUUCUUGAAGCUCCCUGGAUUCAAAUCGUGGCUCUAUCACUUUCUAGUUUGAAUGGCUUGGCUACAUCUCUUAGCUUCUCCAGUUUGUUAUGAGUGGCUGUGAAUUUUAAUGUCUACUUAGCAUAGGGAUCUGUAUCUAGCAAGUACUCAAUUAAUGUAAGCUGUGAUUAUUAGGCAGUAUGGGGGAGGGUUCCUCAAACCAAGAUGGAUAAAUAGAUGAUUUUUUUCCUCCACUUAGUAGCUUUUAUGAAAAUUUCUCUUUAGGAUAAUACUCAAAGGACUGCCCGUGUGGAAAUUCUGGAUCAGCCAGCUUGGGGUAGCUGUGAAGAUGAGUAGCAUCCUAGAUAUGGGAUACUGCAUGUCAAAAUACAGAGAUCUGUGGGUUGCUCCGAUGAGCUGAAUGACCCAGAAGAUAAAAGAGGAAGGUUGAGAUCACUGUAGAAGCAGUGAGAAACCAGCAAGAAACUGAGCUCGGCUCCCUGGCUCACAUAGACAUGGAACAGAGAUCACAUCUGUGAGUGGAGGAGCCAGACUUUUCAUAUAAGCACAUGUAAAACUUUUGAAGUUGGCUGAUCCAAGAAUAGAUUCAAAUUCUUCAGCCAAGAGUCUAGACCAACUGACUUUUUCCACUUCAUUGCCUAGGCUACAGGUGGCCAACUGUCUUGGCCCCCUAGGACUCACCUCUGUCUGUACCAGGUUGACCCUUUGGGCCCGGAGCUCACGCACGCAGUUGAAGAUGUCCACCACCCCUUCAUUCUCGGCCAUGUCAAGCAUGGUGUCAAUGGCAAUGAAGCAGCCAGUCCGCCCAGCCCCAGCACUGGAAGAGAGCAAAUGGGUUGACGGAUGGAAGCAAAGAAGGAGAGGAGAGAGAACAGAGGGGAGAUGAAUGACAGGACAGAAACGAGAGUCCUCUGAGCUGUCCCCAAGACAGAGAGUGGUUGGUGGAGCACCACGUUCAAAGGCCGGCAUCUGGCUCCACCUGCAGCUGUUUUCGCAGGAUCGUGAAGCAAGAGUGUCAUGAAACUGGAGCAGCUGACCGUCCGGAGACCCUUGUCAGGGAUCAAGUUUCUUGAUACAUACUUACUUGAUUUCUGGUCACUAGUGGCUUCUUUAGGAGAAUCUCAGACCAAGUAUAAAAUGGUAGGGGAACUCAACGAGACUCUAUGGGCCUUGGCCAGCCCUUUCUAGAUCAGUGCUGGGCUCUGAAACAUCAGUGCUGACCAAGAGGCACGUAAGACAUGUGCCUUACACAUGUGCAGUUUUGGAUGGGAAGGCCGGGCAGCCUGUCAAGGAGGCCCCCUUCCGCUGCGUUUUCACAUCUUGCCUUUCUCAUGGAAACAAGUGUCUUUGUCUAACAAUGUAGAUGUCAAAAGACACACAAAGAGGAAGAGAGAUGGAACAAGACAAAAAAGCAAUAUUGGCUCAUGGUAAAUCCAAGGGGCACAGGCCAGUGCGGACCACUACCUACAACAAUUUGGAAAGUACACCCAUUGGAAGCAGAGUCUUCAUUCAUGAGAAACUUUCAUGGUUUGAAUGAAGUCUGACUUAAGUUUGCUUCAGAACCUACUCCCCAAAAUCCAGAUGCGGGGACUCAAGAGACUUGGCCUCUGUGUCUGGGAGGGAGUAUAGGGGGGGUCACUCGUGUUUUUUUCUUCAAUGUUCAUAUUCACCAUGCUUUAGUAUAAAGAAUCAGCCCAAUUUGGUUCCAAAUUUUGGAACAACUAUCAAUCAAUCAGCGGUGACCAAGUUGCCUAGUGUCCGUUUGUUUGUUAGCUUCAGAUUUCUGAUGCUUUUAACAUACCUCCCUGCAGGGUCCUUGUGAGGACAAAGCUGUGUUUAUUUCAUUUCAGCAUCACAUAGUAAUUGAACACAGGAUAUUUGAAAAGACCCCCUAGGAUUAAAUCCUGGCUCUAUUACUUAUUAGCUGCAUGACCUCGGGCAAAUGACUUAACCUCUCUGGGUUUCAAUACUCAUCUAUAAAAUGAUGUUGAUAAUAAUUAAAAUACUCACUCAUCUAUAAAAUGAUGUUGAUAAUAAUUAAUAGAUCCACCUCACAGCAUUAAUAGCACAAUAUGUAUAAAUUGGAUGAAA
Molecule: long non-coding RNA, 4217 nt
Filed under: Homo sapiens (human)
Lineage: Eukaryota; Metazoa; Chordata; Mammalia; Primates; Hominidae
Description: HSALNT0401104
Source: RNAcentral